Molecule: long non-coding RNA, 1059 nt
Filed under: Equus caballus (horse)
Lineage: Eukaryota; Metazoa; Chordata; Mammalia; Perissodactyla; Equidae
Description: lncRNA (ENSECAG00000045499.1)
Source: RNAcentral
GCCACCUCGGCUGCUCCAGUCAAUAUGGCUUCCAAGCCUCUCCACACCCCAGAGUCAAUCUGGACUUGCUGAGUUUACAUCAAGACCUGCCACGUGGCCGGGCCAGAGCAGGAAUAAAACAUCUUGUCUGUGAAGCAUUGACAAUGCCAGACUGGCUUCUUCCACUUCUGAGACACCCUCAUGGAAGGAAAUGGGGCUGCCUAAAACAGUCCAUGCCUCACUCCAAGAUACUGGAUGCUCUUUGUCAGUUUUAAUUUCAAGGGCCCCUGAAAAGCCUCUGAUUGGCUCAGUGUGGCUCAGGUGCCCGAGCCAGUCGCCUGUGGUCAGAAGUCACAUUGGACUUGCAGAGUGACGCCCUUGAUGACCAUGUAAAAGGAAAGACGUGAGCAUCUGGAGACAUAGCAAUUGGGAGCUUGCAAAGGAGCAUGAAAAAACUUCGGAGAAGGACACAUCCAGCAGAGUUCGACUGCUCCAUCAGAGAGGUCUUUUCUUUCAUCCCUUGUCUCUGACCAGAGAAGCUCGUUAGAGAAAGGACCAUACCUGUGACGCAGUGACAGAGUGUGGGGCAGGGUGCGGGGCUGGACGUGGACUGCUGGGAAGCUUUAUUUGGAUGACUACGGGCAAAGUCGCACAGGCCUGUAAUGUCAGGAGGAACAGUGUCUGCAGACCGACCUCCCAGGGGGUGGUUUGCAGGGGGGGGACUGCUGUGAUAUUAAUCUGUUUUCUUUGCCACAACUAGCAUUCCUACCUAUACUGCCUGAGCUCCUUAAAGGGGCCCCUAAUUUAGCAUCGUGGAGCACACGAGUCAUCUGGGACCACCCUUGUGCACACUGAGGUCUGGCAAAGGGAUGGACUCCUCAAGGAUGCCCCAAACAACACACACACACACACACACACACACACACACACACACACACACACACGCCUGGGCGCAUGCGCGCGCACACACACACACACACACACACACACACACACACUUUAGUUAGGUGCAUCAUCAUGGCAAUUCUCCAUGCUGGUUAGUGAUCAUUUCCUGAUGAACCAGAGUCCUUCCCAAGCAAA